This is a non-coding RNA of Phasianus colchicus (ring-necked pheasant), 372 nucleotides long. The record is from RefSeq and is a predicted model, not a curated record. Lineage: Eukaryota; Metazoa; Chordata; Aves; Galliformes; Phasianidae.
UCAAAGUCCAGUGAAACUUUCUUACAGCUACAAAUGAAAAUUAAUCAGGUCUGCAGGAUCUACUUGGAACUCCAAACUACUGAAAAAAAUCAGAGAUUUGCUGUGAAAGAAAGAAAAGGAGCCAACUACGUCAGGAGUUUCAAAUCAAGGAAAACAAACAGCAAGAACUGCAUCCACUUAGUUUUGCUCUCCACUGUGAAAGACAAUUACUGAGAUAGAAUCCAACCAACAUGAGUUUAAGCAAAAUCUGAAGAGAUAUGUUGAAACAGAAGUAUUUCCUCAGGGAUGGGAGCAUCAUUCAUGGGAGGAAAAGCCACAGGCACACAAGGCAGCAGAGCCAAACCAACUACCAAUAAAAUCUUUAUCCACUCC